Molecule: non-coding RNA, 72 nt
Organism: Ameiurus melas (black bullhead)
Lineage: Eukaryota; Metazoa; Chordata; Actinopteri; Siluriformes; Ictaluridae
Source: the annotation of a GenBank genome assembly
GCACAGUGUCUUAGUGGUUAUGAUGUUUGGCUCACACCUCCAGGGUUAGGGGUUCAAUUCCCGAUGUGUGCA